CAAGUUCGAACGAACCCUUUCGGGGUUUAGUGGGCGCACGGGUGCGUAACGCGUGGGAACCUGCCUUUAGGUUCGGAAUAACUCAGAGAAAUCUGAGCUAAUACCGGAUAAUGUCUUCGGACCAAAGAUUUAUCGCCUUUAGAUGGGCCCGCGUUAGAUUAGAUAGUUGGUGGGGUAACGGGCCUACCAAGUCGACGAUCUAUAGCUGGUCUGAGAGGAUGAUCAGCCACACUGGGACUGAGACACGGCCCAGACUCCUACGGGAGGCAGCAGUGGGGAAUAUUGGACAAUGGGCGAAAGCCUGAUCCAGCAAUGCCGCGUGAGUGAUGAAGGCCUUAGGGUUGUAAAGCUCUUUUUACCAGGGAUGAUAAUGACAGUACCUGGAAAAAUAAGCUCCCGGCUAAUUCCCUGCCCCCAACCCCCGGGUAAAACCAAAGGGAACUUAGUUUUUUUCAAAAUUUAGGGGGAAAAAAGCCCGCCGAAGGCGGUUUUUUUUAAGUCGGGGGGGAAAAUCCCCGGGAACCUCCACCCCCGGAACCGCCCUU
This 545-nucleotide ribosomal RNA is filed under the name uncultured bacterium. Its description in RNAcentral is "partial 16S ribosomal RNA". It matches the Rfam family "Bacterial small subunit ribosomal RNA", at positions 58 to 628 of the family's 1533-position model. The record is from RNAcentral.